RNAcentral lists this ribosomal RNA (468 nucleotides) under uncultured bacterium. RNAcentral describes it as "partial 16S ribosomal RNA". It matches the Rfam family "Bacterial small subunit ribosomal RNA", at positions 28 to 507 of the family's 1533-position model. The record is from RNAcentral.
GACGAACGCUGGCGGCGUGCUUAACACAUGCAAGUCGAACGGAAAGGCCCUGCUUUUGUGGGGUGCUCGAGUGGCGAACGGGUGAGUAACACGUGAGUAACCUGCCCUUGACUUUGGGAUAACUUCAGGAAACUGGGGCUAAUACCGGAUAGGAGCUCCUGCUGCAUGGUGGGGGUUGGAAAGUUUCGGCGGUUGGGGAUGGACUCGCGGCUUAUCAGCUUGUUGGUGGGGUAGUGGCUUACCAAGGCUUUGACGGGUAGCCGGCCUGAGAGGGUGACCGGCCACAUUGGGACUGAGAUACGGCCCAGAGUCCUACGGGAGGCAGCAGUGGGGAAUAUUGCACAGUGGGCGGAAGCCUGAUGCAGAAACGCCGCGUGCGGGAUGACGGCCUUCGGGGUGUAAACCGCUUUCGCCUGUGACGAAGCGUGAGUGACGGUAAUGGGUAAAGAAGCACCGGCUAACUACGUG